AUUGAACGCUGGCGGCAUGCUUUACACAUGCAAGUCGAACGGUAACACACUUACGGGUUCUUACUAGUGGUGACCAGUUGCGUAAUGCUUCGGAAUGUAUCCAGAUGUGGUUUUUAAUGCAGCGUAACGUGUGCUAAUAUCGCCUGUUAUCUCAUGCUACCUGCGGGUGACCACAGAGCAUUUUUUGGCCUCGCGCGUUUGAAUGGGCCGAUGUCGGAUUAGGUAGUUGGCGGGGUAAAGGCCUACCAAGGCGACGAUCUGUAGCUGGUCUGAGAGGACGAUCAGCCACACUGGAACUGAGACACGGCCCAGACUCCUACGGGAGGCAGCAGUGGGGAAUAUUGGACAAUGGGCGCAAGCCUGAUCCAGCAAUGCCGCGUGCGGGAAGAAGGCCUUCGGGUUGUAAAGCCCUUUUGUAGGGAACGAAAAGGAGCUGGCUAAUACCUGGGGGUGAUGACGGUACCGAAAGAAUAAGCACCGGCUAACUACGUG
RNAcentral lists this ribosomal RNA (492 nucleotides) under uncultured bacterium. Its description in RNAcentral is "partial 16S ribosomal RNA". It matches the Rfam family "Bacterial small subunit ribosomal RNA", at positions 30 to 507 of the family's 1533-position model. The record is from RNAcentral.